CACUGUCACUCCUAACGGGAGGCAGCAGUGGGGAAUCUUGGACAAUGGGGGGCAAACCCCUGAUCCAGCCAUGCCGCGUGAGUGAAGAAGGCCUUAGGGUCGUAAAGCUCUUUCGCCUGUGAAGAUAAUGACGGUAGCAGGUAAAGAAACCCCGGCUAACUCCGUGCCAGCAGCCGCGGUAAUACGGAGGGGGUUAGCGUUGUUCGGAAUUACUGGGCGUAAAGCGCGCGUAGGCGGACCAGAAAGUUGGGGGUGAAAUCCCGGGGCUCAACCCCGGAACUGCCUCCAAAACUCCUGGUCUUGAGUUCGAGAGAGGUGAGUGGAAUUCCGAGUGUAGAGGUGAAAAUUCGUAGAUAUUCGGAGGAACACCAGUGGCGAAGGCGGCUCACUGGCUCGAUACUGACGCUGAGGUGCGAAAGUGUGGGGAGCAAACAGGAUUAGAUACCCUGGUAG
This 453-nucleotide ribosomal RNA is filed under the name uncultured bacterium. RNAcentral's name for it is "bacterial SSU rRNA". It matches the Rfam family "Bacterial small subunit ribosomal RNA", at positions 325 to 793 of the family's 1533-position model. The record is from RNAcentral.